Cheilinus undulatus (humphead wrasse) is the source of this 277-nucleotide long non-coding RNA. RefSeq lists it as uncharacterized. The transcript has 3 exons. NCBI's taxonomy places the organism in Eukaryota, Metazoa, Chordata, Actinopteri, Labriformes, Labridae. The record is from RefSeq and is a predicted model, not a curated record.
CUUGCAUGAGCGCAUGUCCGUUUCUGUUGUAACAUUGAUGUAACAUCAGCCCAAUGCAGUGUGGUUAUUUCACCUCUCAAGUGGACUGGCUGCAGACUUCAGAUCUCAGAAGCCCUCUUUGGCAGACCACUACUGUGAGACUCCACAUCUGUCAGGACGUGCAACGUCUAGUGGUCUGAGAGCCGGGAUCUGCCGCUGGUCUGUCUUGGGCGUAUCAGGAAGCUGCCAAAAAUGGGCAGAAAUAUGGAAAAGUUGAACUCAGUGUGAAGGCUGAGGG